Molecule: ribosomal RNA, 540 nt
Filed under: Triticum aestivum (bread wheat)
Lineage: Eukaryota; Viridiplantae; Streptophyta; Magnoliopsida; Poales; Poaceae
Description: partial small subunit ribosomal RNA
Source: RNAcentral
AUGGCAGAUAAUCAAUGGAUGUAUAGUGGAUUUUUCCGUCGGAAUCAAGUAACAACGGAGUGGGUCGAAAAAACUGAUGUGUUUUUGAAAGAGAUAUUUCGUAGUCCAAUGAGGAUGGUGCCAGAAUGCCCGUGUGCCAGAUGUAAGAGGCGUAUCCGCAGAGAUAAGAGUGAGAUGACUAAGCACCUUCGCACGCAUGGAUUUAUGCCCAACUUUAAUAUGCCGAUAAACUUUGUCCAGCGGGACCGUGGUAGAGAGGAUGUGAUACGACAACGCGUUGCUGGUUAUGAGGACGAUGGGGUUAGAGACAUGCUAGAUGAUGUCUUUGCUGCACAGCUGACACCUCCGUCACAUUCAGCGAAUGAACCGGAGGAGCCGGAGGAAACCGCAAAGGCCUUCCUGGAAAUCUUGGCCUCGUCAAAGAAACCUCUCUAUGAGGGUGCCAAGCUGUCUGUGCUGGAUGCCAUCUCGCAACUGAUGGCAGUCAAGGCUGAGUACGGUUGUAGACGAGGUUGCUUCGAAGCAUUUCUGGGAGUAUGA